Molecule: ribosomal RNA, 482 nt
Filed under: uncultured bacterium
Lineage: Bacteria
Description: bacterial SSU rRNA
Rfam family: Bacterial small subunit ribosomal RNA
Source: RNAcentral
AGAGUUGAUCCUGGCUUAGGAUGAACGCUGGCGGCGUGCCUAACACAUGCAAGUCGAGCGAUUACUUCGGUGAAGAGCGGCGGACGGGUGAGUAACGCGUGGGUAACCUGCCUCAUACACAUGGAUAACAUACCGAAAGGUAUGCUAAUACAGGAUAAUAUAAGAGAUUCACAUGGAUUUUUUAUCAAAGCUCCGGCGGUAUGAGAUGGACCCGCGUCUGAUUAGCUAGUUGGUAAGGUAAUGGCUUACCAAGGCGACGAUCAGUAGCCGACCUGAGAGGGUGAUCGGCCACAUUGGAACUGAGACACGGUCCAAACUCCUACGGGAGGCAGCAGUGGGGAAUAUUGCACAAUGGGCGAAAGCCUGAUGCCAGCAACGCCGCGUGAGUGAUGAAGGCCUUCGGGUCGUAAAACUCUGUCCUCAAGGAAGAUAAUGACGGUACUUGAGGAGGAAGCCCCGGCUAACUACGUGCCAGCCGCUGC